Molecule: non-coding RNA, 21 nt
Filed under: Caenorhabditis elegans
Lineage: Eukaryota; Metazoa; Nematoda; Chromadorea; Rhabditida; Rhabditidae
Source: RNAcentral
UUGUAGCGUUUAUUUUUUGCU